CCUACGGGGGUUGCAGUAGGGAAGAGUACACAAGGGACGAAAGACGGAGGGAGCAACGACGAGUGAGUGAAGAAGGGUGUAGGAUCGGAAAGCUCUGUUGGUAGUGAAGAAAGAUAGAGGUAGUAACUGGCCUUUAUGUGACGGUAAUUACUGAGAAAGUCACGGCUAACUACGUGCCAGCAGCCGCGGUAAUACGUAGGUGGCAAGCGUUGUCCGGAUUUAUUGGGCGUAAAGCGAGUGCAGGCGGUUCAAUAAGUCUGAUGUGAAAGCCUUCGGCUCAACCGGAGAAUUGCAUCAGAAACUGUUGAACUUGAGUGCAGGAGAGGAGAGUGGAACUCCCUGUGUAGCGGUGUCAUGCGUAGAUAUAUGGCAGAACACCAGUGGCGAAGGCGGCUCUCUGGUCUGCAACUGACGCUGAGGCUCGAAAGCCUGGGUAGCGAACAGGAUUAGCUACCCUUGUAGUC
This 464-nucleotide ribosomal RNA is filed under the name uncultured bacterium. RNAcentral describes it as "partial 16S ribosomal RNA". It matches the Rfam family "Bacterial small subunit ribosomal RNA", at positions 338 to 795 of the family's 1533-position model. The record is from RNAcentral.